GAUGAACGCUGGCGGCGUGCCUAAUACAUGCAAGUCGAGCGAACAGACGAGGAGCUUGCUCCUCUGAUGUUAGCGGCGGACGGGUGAGUAACACGUGGAUAACCUACCUAUAAGACUGGGAUAACUUCGGGAAACCGGAGCUAAUACCGGAUAAUAUUUUGAACCGCAUGGUUCAAAAGUGAAAGACGGUCUUGCUGUCACUUAUAGAUGGAUCCGCGCUGCAUUAGCUAGUUGGUAAGGUAACGGCUUACCAAGGCGACGAUGCGUAGCCGACCUGAGAGGGUGAUCGGCCACACUGGAACUGAGACACGGUCCAGACUCCUACGGGAGGCAGCAGUAGGGAAUCUUCCGCAAUGGGCGAAAGCCUGACGGAGCAACGCCGCGUGAGUGAUGAAGGUCUUCGGAUCGUAAAACUCUGUUAUUAGGGAAGAACAUAUGUGUAAGUAACUGUGCACAUCUUGACGGUACCUAAUCAGAAAGCCACGGCUAACUACGUG
RNAcentral lists this ribosomal RNA (497 nucleotides) under uncultured bacterium. RNAcentral describes it as "partial 16S ribosomal RNA". It matches the Rfam family "Bacterial small subunit ribosomal RNA", at positions 28 to 507 of the family's 1533-position model. The record is from RNAcentral.